Molecule: ribosomal RNA, 592 nt
Filed under: Hemicycliophora sp. TSH-2009
Lineage: Eukaryota; Metazoa; Nematoda; Chromadorea; Rhabditida; Hemicycliophoridae
Description: SSU rRNA
Rfam family: Eukaryotic small subunit ribosomal RNA
Source: RNAcentral
UUCUGACCGUAAACGAUGCCAACUAGCGAUCCGCCGGCGGCUCCAAGGCCCUGGUGGGGAGCUUCCCGGAAACGAAAGUCUUCCGGUUCCGGGGGAAGUAUGGUUGCAAAGCUGAAACUUAAAGGAAUUGACGGAAGGGCACCACCAGGAGUGGAGCCUGCGGCUUAAUUUGACUCAACACGGGAAAACUCACCCGGCCCGGACACCGUGAGGAUUGACAGAUUGAUAGCUUUUUCAUGAUUCGGUGGUUGGUGGUGCAUGGCCGUUCUUAGUUCGUGGAUCGAUUUGUCUGGUUUAUUCCGAUAACGAGCGAGACUCCAGCCUACUAAAUAGUGCGGGCAUUGCCAUUGUGCCAUGCACUUCUUAGAGGGAUUGGCUGCGUCUAGCGGCACGAAACGGAGCAAUAACAGGUCUGUGAUGCCCUUAGAUGUCCGGGGCUGCACGCGCGCUACACUGGCAAAGGCAGCGUGCUUGUCCGUCUCCGAAAGGAGCCGGUAAACCCUUGAAAAUUUGCCGUGAUUGGGAUCGGAAAUUGCAAUUAUUUUCCGUGAACGAGGAAUUCCUAGUAAGUGCGAGUCAUCAGCUCGCGUUG